AGCAGAUCCUGAGGAAGACGGGUCUUGUAUGAAGAUCAAAGAGUUGUGUUUGAUAGCCAAGGAUGACUUGCCUAAAUCCACUGUGGGGGUUUUCUAAAGACCUCCACUUCCGGAUGGCUAAAUGCAUGUAGGUCUGGCGAUGGAAGUACUAGCACUUAAUUAUUAGCAUCGACCCCAUGAAUGAGAGGAAGAGAGGUCUUGCAUGAAGAUCAAAGAGUCAAGUUUGAUAGCCAAGGAUGACUUGCCUACAUCCACAGUACUGGGGUUUCAUCAACUUGCGAUCGAGAUAAGAAUGAAUGAAUAUUGCUAACUUUUAUGUAUAGCAAAAAACGUCACGAUCAUCAUCACCUGGUUUAUAGGCAGUCUCCUUUGGCUAGUCUGAAUGACUCUUAUCUUUCAUGCUAGAUCUUCAUCUUCCUUGUAUCGUGCACAUUUGGAACCAGUCGAAUUAAAUCUUUUUUUUUUA
Molecule: long non-coding RNA, 466 nt
Organism: Juglans regia (Persian walnut)
Lineage: Eukaryota; Viridiplantae; Streptophyta; Magnoliopsida; Fagales; Juglandaceae
Exons: 2
Source: RefSeq, a predicted model, not a curated record